UACGAAGGGAGCUAGCGUUGUUCGGAAUCACUGGGCGUAAAGCGCACGUAGGCGGAUUUGUCAGUCGGGGGUGAAAUUGCGAGGCUCAACCUCGGAACUGCCUCCGAUACAGCAAAUCUCGAGUCCGGGAGAGGUGGGUGGAAGUCCUAGUGUAGAGGUGAAAUUCGUAGAUAUUAGGAAGAACACCAGUGGCGAAGGCGGCCCACUGGACCGGUACUGACGCUGAGGUGCGAAAGCGUGGGGAGCAAACAGG
RNAcentral lists this ribosomal RNA (253 nucleotides) under uncultured bacterium. RNAcentral describes it as "partial 16S ribosomal RNA". It matches the Rfam family "Bacterial small subunit ribosomal RNA", at positions 524 to 776 of the family's 1533-position model. The record is from RNAcentral.